RNAcentral lists this ribosomal RNA (253 nucleotides) under uncultured bacterium. RNAcentral describes it as "partial 16S ribosomal RNA". It matches the Rfam family "Bacterial small subunit ribosomal RNA", at positions 524 to 776 of the family's 1533-position model. The record is from RNAcentral.
UACGGAGGAUGCAAGCGUUAUCCGGAAUGAUUGGGCGUAAAGCGUCCGCAGGUGGCUAUGUAAGUCUUCUGUUAAAGAGUGAGGCUCAACCUCAUAAGAGCAGUGGAAACUACAUGGCUAGAGUGCGUUCGGGGCAGAGGGAAUUCCUGGUGUAGCGGUGAAAUGCGUAGAGAUCAGGAAGAACACCGGUGGCGAAAGCGCUCUGCUAGGCCGCAACUGACACUGAGGGACGAAAGCUAGGGGAGCGAAUGGG